RNAcentral lists this long non-coding RNA (8527 nucleotides) under Solanum tuberosum (potato). RNAcentral's name for it is "long non-coding RNA (STUB_LNC003035)". The record is from RNAcentral. Lineage: Eukaryota; Viridiplantae; Streptophyta; Magnoliopsida; Solanales; Solanaceae.
UCCCCUCAUCAACGUAACUUUUCUCUACCUCUCCCUUUUUUUUGUUUUGGAAAUAAAUAAUUAUACAAGUUAUAGUUGAGAUAGUUAUAAAUAUCUGAAGUUCAAAUUUAACUAUCAUUCACAAUAAUAAUAAUAAAGAAAAUAAAUUUUACGUGUUUGGCCAGUAAAAGAAAUGACGUAAGUCCCUCUUUUUUGUUUUAGAAAUAAAUGAUUAUACAAGUUGUAGUUGAGAUAGUUAUAAAGAUCUGAAGUUCAAAUCUAAUUGUCAUUUAUAAUAAUAAUAACAAAGAAAAUAUUUUUUUACUGUUUGAAUAGUAAAAGAAAUGAUGAAAGUGUGUAAAGGCAAACUACGUUUAUAUUGAAUAACUAAAUAAAUAAAUAAAGUACAUCAUUUCAAAGAAAUUUAAAUUAUCAAAUUGACAAGUAGUUUAAAGUGAAUUCAAUUUUGAAGAACUGUUUUAAAAUCACGUAAAGAUACUAAUUUAAUUAUUUGACGAUGGAUGGGACAUACUUCUCAUAUUGUCAAAGGAACUCAAUAAAUAAGCUCUUGUAAAAUAAGUAACAAGAUAUUAUACAUAAUGCAAUAUUAUGCCCCACCUAAUUUUAAUAUGCUUUAUAUUUACUAGUCACUAUCUUCAGGGACCCAAUAUUAAUUAAAAUUACUAUGUAACAAAAAUAUCACAGUAGGUUUUCAAAAUACCUUUUAUCUGCAUUUCUUUUUUUCAAAAAAAUAAAAAUUGUUGAAAAAAACUGUAGAUUAAAGUAGAGGGAAAAUUAUCUGAAUUAUCAUGUCAAUCAACUUCAGUUUUAGGUUCAUGCAUUUAUUUAUUUCUCCAUUACUAUAAUUGCAUUCGAAACUUGUGGGACAUUAGCAAAAUCCUAAUUAAGUCUAUUAGGAAAUAUAUUUCUAUCUCCUACGAAAUGUAUAUUUUCUUUUCUUGGUACAUAUAACUCAAUUGGUUGGCUAGAGUUUGAUUUUCGAUUUUAUAAUUCCCUUUUGAUUUUUAUUUCCAUGGCUCCUAAUUUUAUUUUUUAUUUUUUAUUUUUAUGAUAAAAAAAUAUUAUGUGACGAGGUGGCAGUUCCUGAUUAAAUGGACGGUGCCUAUUAAUAAGGUGGAUUUUCUUCCUCAGACAAAUAAUAAAUGAAACUUCCUACUUUACUUCUUUCGUAUUUUUCCUUCUAUCGUCAUCAAUCAUACCCGUAACUUGACCAAAACUAAAAGGGAGCAGUAUGAGGAUGACUGAUAUAUUUGACGAGCGUCGGUGAAGAAAGUAACUAAAACUGGAGCUUAAAAUAGUUAAUAUAAUAAAUGUUUUUCUCAUAUAUAUGCACCUUUUUUCAAAUAAUACUUACACUUAAUAUUUACGUCAAAUAAAGCAAUACAUAACAAUUGCAAAUUAAAGUAAACCUACAUAUUAUUGAGGAAUUUUCAUAAAUGAUUUACAGUUUGGGAUUUAUUAACAUCGUUAAUUAAGUGACUAAAGUUUAAGAAGACACGCAUUAUGUAUAUCUUUAUUUGCUUCGUGCAGAUAUCGAAUGUGCAUGAUUUUUUUCCCCCCUUAUAAUUCAUGUGUUGAAUUCAAAUCCAUUCAUGAUCCAACUCAGCACAAACCCUAUUUUAAUUAAUUUUAUGUGUGAAAAUUACAUAAGACAUAAAUUUGAUCCAAUAGAUAAAAUAAAAGUAUUUUAGGUCAUUCCUAAUACAUAAAAAAUAUUUUUAUCCAACAAGUAAAAGAAGAAAUAAAAUUAAAACAAUAAAUAGAUAAAGAAUAUUAUAAAACCAUUUAUAAUAUAUUACAAAUAUUUUUGACCUCUUUUCCGUAUAAGAUUUAUCGAUUAGGUGGAGUCUGCUCUAUUUUAACCUUUGACAUAGAGUCAUAGACGUAGAGUACGUAAUCAGUACUGGCAAGGGAUAAUUAAUCUUGAGCAUAAAUUUGGUAAACUAUAUCUUGAUUAGAGACUCUAUACCUACUAAUAAUUCAGAAAAUCAAACAUAUGAUAAUUAAUAAGAUUCCUUGAGGAAUUGAUUAUAUAUUGACUGGUUCAUAGUCUAAAUCAACACCUAAUUAAUAAUCCCUAUUUAACUUAUAAUAGAUGUGCACUUUUAAUUUCUAUCUCAUCACUUAUGUGAUGUUAGAUAGUCAUAAAAUAACAUUAUAGGGAGAGAUUCUAUAUUCUUAUAUAUAAAAACAAAAAUUAUACUAAUAUCAAGUAAUUUAAAUAUACAUGAUAUAUAUUUGUGUGACUAUAUAAUUUUGAGAACUUGUAAUUAUAAAUAUCUUUUAACUUAAUAUAUAUUGUGUGGCUAUAAAAAUAUAUAUCUCAUUAAGAAAAGGUAAAAAUUGUUAUUUUCUUUGAAAUAGACUAAUGAAAAAAAAAAAAAAAAACUCCAGUGUUAGAUAAAGAAAGAAAAUAUUUGUUAAUCAAUUCUCAACUGGACCCAAAGAAAAUUCUUGCCGCCUUAAAAAUAGAAUAAAGAACAAAGUAAUUAAGCACUUAAUCUUUGUAGGACCAAAAAGGUCACUUUCACUCUUUAGAGGGCUAAGUUGUAUAUUUUAUGUUAUUUCCCUUCCCUUUUUGACAAUCCCACACUUGGUGUAGGGCACAUGAAUAAUUAUUCAAAAUUUAAUGAAGGGAUAAUUUAGCAAUUAGAUUUUAAUUUAACUAUAGGUAAAUUAAUUAAAGGCUGACGAACCACGAUUAAUUACAUUCCCUAAAUAAAACAAUUAACAUGCUUUUACAUUUUUAAAAAAAUUAUAAUAAAAUAAUGAUAUUUCAUAUUCACUUAUAAUUCAAAAAUAUGAAUCUGCUUCCUACUAAACCCUCCAUGGAAGUUUAGGAUAAGGCAAUCGUCACUCCAUUCCAAUCCCAAAUUGAGGAGAUUUGGUGAUUGAAGAAAAGUAGCAAUCUUAGCAAAAAGGUAAAUUGGUCGGCUAAGAGGGUGUACCCCAUUUAUCGGGUUCACAAUUCUAGUUGUGUUUGUGAAUAGCAGGGACAGAGCUAGAAGUUCAGAUUCAACUCAAUAAUUUUUGCUCUAAAAUUUCAAACCUCUCAUAGGCGAGGUAGAUUUAAUGUUACGUCUCCCUCUAGGUGGGGCUCACGACCAAAGGAUAUAUGUAUGGAUGGAGCUAUAGUGUGGUUCAACUGAAUUCAGUAGCUAGCUUUGAUUCAAACUUUAUAUUUAUCUUAAAAUAUCUAUUAAAUAUGUACAAAAUUUCAAUUUAAAACCUAAUAACUGGUAAAAUUGAAACUUCGAACUCAUAAAUUUUAGAUUCUGACUUCAUCUCCCGACACUAAUAUUGGAAUGGUUGGUGGAUAGUGGAUACAUUGAGAGAAUGUAGCCAACAGCGCAGCCAUAGGGCCGGGCUUAGAAAUCACGCUACAAAAGUUCCGCUACUAACGGUACUUAAAUAGACCGUUAUAAAGUGUGUCUGUGUGUGGCUGUCACUAUUUUUUCCUAUUUAUUCAAAAUGUUGUUGACACCUCAAAGAAUAAUACCCUCAACUAAAUUUACCUGACUUUUGCAGCAACUUUAUAUUUCUACUAGAAAGAUUUUCUGCCACAUCUGAGUUACACUUGCAUACAAUUCACUGCUACACCACACAACAUUCGUGGAAUAAAUUACUUUUCUUUUUAUUUUCUGAAUUAUCAAGACUAAUUCAAAGUCGCGUAUCAUAGUAUUCAUUUAACAAAAAUGAAAAAAAUUGAUAGAAAUUAUUUGAAGUUGAGCAAAUCAAAACUCAAAUUGCAGGAGUCCAAGUAUAAUAGCAUAGUGACAAUUGGUCAGCUAACUCUUUGUUAGUAAAUUAAUUAUUAUUUGUUUGGAAAAAAAUCUAAUAUAUACGACUUGUAGCCUUAUGAGCUUUAUUUGAACUUGACGAAAGAAAAUCUCAUCUAGGAGAAAAAUAAUUGAAAAGAAAGAUGAAAUUAGUCCAACAUUUGGGGUGCAAUAAUUUGGUUCCUUUAAAAAUCCAUUUAUGUUGGAGUGUUUUAAAAAUGUGGCUGGCUUAUUUAUUGUUUUCACACGAAACAAUUCUAAAGUUGAUUUUUGACCUUGAAAAGACUCAAGUACACCAAUUUUUCUAUUUUCUUUCUCACUAAAAAAUCAAUAAUUGAGGUUUAAGAAAAGGCCGACCUAAUAGGUGUGCAAUUUACUCUAAUACAUGCAUUAAUAGUUAUUUUCACAGUUCAAACUCGUCACCUACCUCACACGAAAAUAAUUUUUUUUGUUACUCAAAGUCUCUUUUAUAGUAAUUUGAUAUUCUUUUGAUUAAUUAGUAAUAGUUCAAUUUUCAAACAUCAUUAUCAGUUUGAACUCAACCUAAAGAUAUCUGAAAACUCAUUUUCUUUACAAAAAUUGACUGUUUUGUUUACCAAAAAGAUUUAAACAAUAAUUUUCUGGGACAUUAAUAUCAUUAAGUAACAGAACGAUUACUAAGUACCUGUAAAUCAGCCAACACGUGGGCCAGCCCUCAUCCUUCACAAGUGGCAACUCUUGUACCAGCUCAGCACAGAAUCAACGGUCCAGAUUGCAUCACAGACUACAAACCGCGUCCCUUACCCCGGAUCCCUCCCACACUAUUUAUACUCCUCAAUCCCCAACGCACUUUUCCAUAACCAAUCCACUUCACCUGCUUCUUCACUCACCGGAAAACUCACCGGAAAAGCAAAAAAUUAAGAUAAGGUUAUCGAAGAAAAUGGCGAACAGUUUAAUUCUAUCGAUUAAGGUUGCGCUAAUAUCAAUUGGUGCAAUUUCCUUAGCGAUGGUAGCAAAAGCGUCGAUUCCAUUAAUUUAUUAUGAGCUCCCAGCAAUUUGGAGUGUAGUUAUAGCUUGGCUUAAGCCUCCGUAUCUCUACUUUGUUAUCAAUGGUAUAAUCCUCAUCAUCGUCGCCACUUCUCGCUCGUCGAACCAUAAGGAGUCCAGCUCCGACGAUCAAUUUCAGCCGUUGAUUACCGCUAGAACACCUCCGCAGUCAGAUUUGAUAGCGAUUACUCAAUCGGAGCUUCAUUCAGUCCAAAGUGAAGUGAAGGUGUUUGAGGCCGUGCCUGUACCGGUGGACGAACCGCAGGUGUUUGAGGUUAAGCCAGUACUGGUGAACGGCUCCGUCGUGGUUAUGAAUCAUGAAGAUGAAGACGUGAUCGAUGAGCCUGAUGCAAGCGAAGCGAUAGUGAUUUCGAAAUCUGUUGUCUCUCCGUUGCCGGAAAUUGAAACUAAAAAUGAGUUUCUUCUAGUACCGGCGACGGAAAAACCUCUGGUUUCUUCCAGAUUCGGUAACCGAAAACCUGCUGUGAAAAUGAGUCCGGAAGGUACGUGAAAAGUACACACAUUGUUACUACUUUCUCCGUCUCAAUUUAUUUUGCACAGUUAAAAUUCAGUUCGAAACGGAGGCAUUCAUCACGCAUUUCAUCUUAUUUCAAUCGGUAAAAUUUUUGAAGCUAAAUAUGUUACAAUAAUGGAUAAUUUCAGGAGUGAAGUCACUGAAAGUGUCGCGGUCGAAAAAGCCAGAGACAUUAGAGAACACAUGGAAAAUGAUAACAGAGGGCCGUCACGUGCCACUCACGAGGCAUAUGAAGAAAUCAGACACCUUUCACAUUCACGUGGCUGCCGUGGACGACGACGCUCCGGAGGAAAACGAGAAUUCCACCACCUUUCCACCGCAGCACCACCACCAGAGGCACGUGCUUAAGUCGGAGACUUUCAAGGACCGAACAAACUAUGUCUCGCCGUCGUAUUCACCGUCGCCGGCGGCUGUGAAGAUCCGGAAGGAUCCGUCGCUGAGCUCCGACGAGUUGAAUCGGAAAGUGGAGGCGUUUAUUAAAAAGUUCAAUGAAGAUAUGAGAUUACAGAGGCAACAGUCUAUGCAGCAGUACAUGGAGAUGAUUAACCGUGGAGUCUAAAUUACUUAGUUAUACUAAUUUUACUUUUUAAAAAAAGAAUUUUUUUCCUUUUUAAAAAAAAAAGGUUGGCUGGAAAAAAAGAAAAUGAAUUUGCAAUUUGUAUUUAGCUUUUAGGCUUUUGAGUGACUUGUUUUUUUUGUUUGAUUUUUAUAGUAAAAAUAGGAAGUAUAGGAAAGGUUUUAUUGUAUAGAAAGUAUAGGAAAGCUUUAAAAACAGUGAAUUGUUCUUUUAUUUCUUAUAGUUUAUUAAAUGAAUAAAAAAAUGAAAAUAUAGCAGUUACAGUUGUUAUGAAUGGUGUAUUUAUUAGUAUAUAGAAGAUAUUUUUAAACUUCAUGAUUUGAUUACUGGUAUAAAAUAACACCACGAAAAUGAAAGCUCCAUAUGAAGGCCAUAAUGGUAUACAAUUUAAUUUUAUGACAAUAAGUAGGGUAUUUUUUUAAUCAAAUUACCAAUUUACUUUUUACCAAAAAAAUAUAUUUGUAUAAGUAAUUUUAUACCAUCAAUACAUGAAAAUGAAGCUAAUAGAUCUUGGAUUUAAGUCUCUUCGGGUACAGAGUCACCUUUGUUAGAGAGGACUUUAUCCUCCAAUGAGACUUUUCGACAAAUUUAAUUUAGUCAGGCUUCAAUAUGGGUACUAGACAUCGGUAAUGCAUCUUCAAUUUUUUCUUUCUUUAUUUGGUUUUUUAUUUUUCAGAGGGAUAUGGGGUCACAUAUAUUUCAGUGACAAGAGAAGGGGGACCAAAACGGAUGACAACUUACAACUAACAUAUUUGUUUGGGAGUUCACAAAAUGGAAUUGUCGGUGGAUUUGGAUUAACCUUAGAUUUUCCAACUUGCAUAUUCUCUAAAAUCCUUUGAGUCAAAUUUUCCGGCACAGCUAAAAAGAAUAUGGAUAUAAAGCCAAUCUCACGUUACAUCACACACAUAUAUAUAUGUAAGAAAAUAGAAUUUCAUGUUCUUUUCUAUAUCUAUAAAAUAGAAAGAAAGAAUUUGAUGUGUUUAUCCUCACUUGUCAUAAUUAUAUUUUGAGGUAAAAUCACAUGAUUAGACACACAAGUUGUAAGCUCAAUUGGUUUACCUACUAAUUUUGUGCUUGUAGUGUAUUAUAGGGAUCGAACAUGCAACUAUGAUGAAGACGGUGAUGGCAACUGACUGGAGUACUUUUAUUUUUGAAAUAUUAUAUUGAUGAAGACGGUCUCAUAUGGUUCGAGAAGAGAAUUCUAGCUUCUCAUAAGGCUUGGACAAUACUUCUCCGCCUUCUUUUGGUCUUUUUCUAUCUCCGUGGUUCUAAUCAAGUCCUACAAGCUUUGAAUCCCAAAUGAGGUCUAACAAGCCUACAGCACAAUACUCUUCUUUCUGUGGCAAGGUCAACCAAAAGAAUUUGUGGCUAGUUAGCACUAGCCACAAAUUCCAAGAUUCAAAUCCCCUUACUCUCCCAGAACUUGUGAGAGUCUCAGACACACCAAAACAUAAAAAAGAAACAAGCAUUUUACACAAAAAGAUUGAACUCCAAAACCUUUCCAGCCAUUUAUAAUAAAUAUAUGCAAGGCACCUCGCGGCCAUUGCAAAAUGUAACCUGUGCAUAGCGGAAAGAUUACAUCAGUUGCUACUUGCUACGUUUUUCUAUGUACAAUGCAUGACGCCAGCAAAGCCAACAUAUACAAAUUCCCUAACACUGCGGAGUACCUCUGGUUUUUUAUAUAGCACAGCUAAUUUAGGUGCCUCAUGUAGGAACAUCUUACUGGUCAUUAGGUGCCAAAGAUGCAGCAGUGCUUAUGGGUAAAGGCCUAUUAUGAUCUACAUCAGUUUGUUGACUACCACUAACAAUAACACAAUUACUCGGAUUUGUCUCCCCAGCGCCAUCUCCAUUUAUUUGGUUACCCACGGAACUUCCAUUCUCACAGUGCCUGACAUAUUGCUCUGCAGCACGUUUGAUUAUGCGUAUCAUGCUACCAGAAUCAGAGCCUGGUGAAAGCUCAUCGUCCCUCUCUGGCUUAGCAUUCAGGUCAAAUUCACCUUUAAAUGGUGAAGCAGAAGAUUUCUUCUCAGUAAGGUAAUUGGGAUCAUCAACAGAAGAUUUCCUCUCAUCCACGUAGUUGGGAUCAUCAACAGAAGAUUUCUUCUCAGUCAGGCAGUUGGGAUCAUCAACAGAAGAUUUCUUCUCAUUCAGGCAGUUGGGAUCAUCAACAGAAGACUCCUUCUCAUUCAGGGAGUUGGGAUCAUCAACGGAAGAUUUCUUCUCAUUAAGGUAAUUGGGAUCAUCAACUGAAGAUUUCUUCUCAUUAAGGUAACUGGGAUCAUCAACGGAAGAUUUCUUCUCAUUAAGGUAAUUGGGAUCAUCAACUGAAGAUUUCUUCUCAUUAAGGUAACUGGGAUCAUCAACGGAAGAUUUCUUCUCAUUAAGGUAAUUGGGAUCAUCAACUGAAGAUUUCUUCUCAUUAAGGUAACUGGGAUCAUCAACGGAAGAUUUCUUCUCAUUAAGGUAAUUGGGAUCAACUGAACCUUCAUUGUUCAGCUCUCCAUGCUGAGGGCUUAAAUGCGCUGCAUCAUCAAUAGAUUCUUGAAUGUCAACAGCAUCAAGCAAUUGCCCAGCUGAUUGCGGCUGCAGCUUUUGACAAGUAGCUUCUGC